Molecule: RNA transcript, 2788 nt
Organism: Rhipicephalus sanguineus (brown dog tick)
Lineage: Eukaryota; Metazoa; Arthropoda; Arachnida; Ixodida; Ixodidae
Exons: 18
Source: RefSeq, a predicted model, not a curated record
UGCUAAGCGCGCAGCGCUAUACACCCUUGAACCACUACGGAACUGCCGAGGCCUCUCGAUAUCUGGGCGCUGACGCAUUCCCAAGCCGUCCGCUAUCUUGGUCGUCGUGGCAACCGCGAUACGACAUGGAAACAGUUCUGCCUUUUCCGCCGCCACCGAGCAACGCCUGCCAACAGAUCACAGCAGCAGACCUACCGUUUGGCGGUCACUGAAACCAUAAUGGUGGAGUGUCGGAAUCCGGGUUGCCGAGGCAAGCCCGUACCUAAGGUCGGUAAAAGCAUGGCGUUUUGUCCAGCCUGCCGCUUACCAAACUGUCUAGAAUGCGACGCAAUCCAUGAUGGAAUGUCGUGCAAGGCAUACAAGAGGAGCAUUGGCGCUGACGACUCGCCAGCGGCCAGCCGAGGGGGCCAGACACCGCAGACCCGAAGAGACACCUCCCCACGUCCGUCAACUUCUGCAGCGACCUCAGGGACAUCGCAGAAGAAAACAGCGGCACCUGUUAUGGCUAAUGAAGACAGUUCUGAAGUGUUAGUUUACUGCAAGGUCACUGACUGUGAAGGCGUUGGCUUCGUGGGAAAGGAUGACACCAUGUUCCGUUGCAUCGUUUGUAGCCACUUCACCUGCGUGAAAUGCUCGGCUUUCCACGAAUCUAUGACAUGCGCAGAGUAUCAGAAGAACAAGGACAACGUGGUAGUGCCCGUAUACAAGCCUACUGGAUUGCCUGAGGAAGACAAUGGGGAGUCCGAGGCGGAAGAGCCCGAAGUGCUCGAAGCCGACGAUGAUGCGGAGCGUGUGAUCGUAGACUGCCGUCAUAACGGUUGUAAGGGCUACUCAUACGUGGUCAAGACAGCAACUACGGCUCAGUGCGAGAUGUGCAAGCACUGGACUUGCGUGGCAUGCAAGGCCUGUCACGAAUCGCAAACCUGCGCUCAGCACCUAGGAAUUGAACUUCCAACAGAACCACCGGUGCCGAGCAGCGCAUUCCAGCUAUUUCCGAGUAGCCAGAAGCAAAUACAGAAGCCAAGAGCUGGCGCUGGGAGCAGUGAAGGUCCCGGGGCUUACAUUUGGGAACGCGCGACUGAAAUAAGAGUGAGAAACAUGGCCCGACAGCUGUUCCGUGGUGGUAAAUCUGAUGACAUGGAGGACGAGCCAGCGGGUGCAGUGGCUGCACCUCGGGGUUACGAAAACAGCACAAGAGUUCAGGAAAACGCUUGUGAUGCUUGCAACUGCACCAAACCUGAUCACGUUGCUGCAGAGUGCGAACAUGUUUUAUGCAGGAAAUGCAUCCAAACGGCCGUGGAAAAGUCCACAGUCUACAAAUUUAUAAUGUGCCCCGUAGAAGCGGGUUCGCCGCAGCAAUGUUCAGGACGCCUUAUGGAAGACGUAUACAAAAAGUGCGUUAGCCCAGAAGCACUUGCACACAUGAAAAACAUGAGGAACUGGUUCCCUGCUGAAUGUUUUAAAAAAAAGUGUCCCAAUCAAGGGAAGCCAGGUUCUCUACUCGUAAAGAGGGGAACAGAAUCUUAUGUCUGUCCACACUGCCUUAUCCGGAACUGCUGGGCGUGUCGAGCUAUCCACAACGACAUGACCUGUGGGGAAUACAUGGAGAAACUUGUGGCCGACAUGGACGCAGGGAAGCUCGAAGAUCCUCACGAGAAGGAAAAGCGAUAUCGGGAGCUCGUCUCCGUUUACGAGCAAGACGUUGUGACAACGACCCACGAAUUUGAAUGUGCCAUUUGUUUCGUGGACGUGGAACCUGGUAAAGGAAUUAUUCUCAAGAAUUGUCACCACAAGGUUUGCGAACAAUGCCUGGCCGACACUGCCAAGAAUUCUCCGAAAGCAGAAGUUCAAUGCCCUUGCCUCGAAAACGGUGAUCCCUGCCAGAUGUCCGUUUUAGACUGCGACCUUAGGGCGUGCCUGUCGAAGGAAGAAUACGACGCACUGCAAGACCGGAGCCUGCGCGAGGCCGAGAACAGGAGCAAAGAGCCGUCGUUCCAUUGCAAGACACCCGACUGCCGCGGCUGGUGCUUUCACGACCCAGACGUCGAGCUCUUCGAAUGCCCGCUAUGCCGAAAGCAGAACUGUCUCCGCUGCGAGGAAAUCCACGAGGGCAUGACAUGCGCCCAAUAUCAGGAGGACCUGAAGCGAAGGGCCGAUAAUGAUGCAGCGGCCAAGGCAUCACUCAACUUUCUCGAGGAAAUGCUCAGAACCCAGCAAGCGAUGCGAUGCCCUCAGUGCCGCAUUGUCAUCAUCAAGCGGGUCGGGUGUGACUUCAUGGUGUGCACCUCGUGCCAUACUCAGUUGUGCUGGGCCACCAAAGGAGCUCGAUGGGGCCCAAAUGGUGUCGGCGACACAAGCGGUGGUUGCAGAUGCGGCGUGGGCGGCGUAAAAUGCCACCCGACAUGCACGACUUGCCACUAGCGUCAAAAGGAAAGGCGGCAAGGAAUAUUCUACUUUCUGCUUUAUAUAAUGCAUUCAUAUUCAUUGCGAGAAAAUUCUCGAGCCUAAUCAUAGGAUGAAAUGCUGCAGGGAGCGGUGCUGCGCAACCGAAGGUUUGAUCCCUCCAGGUAUCUUGGUUGACGAGUACAACUUCAAGAAUACUCGCCAGUAAAUGUACUCGUAUACGGGCGCCUUUUCUUUUGUGCUUAAAAAUGGAUACUCUUAACAAAAAUGUAACACUUUGCUGGAUGCUGAUUUCAAAAAGCAACUGUGAGUAAAGAAAGAGACUCGAAAAUUUUCUAUUCGCGAGAGAAGGUUUCUUCCAUCUAUAAUAAAUUUAUUGGGUUCG